GUCCCAUAACAAAACUCAGAGCAUAACUUAUUCGUUUUCUUCGUUGGGCCGGCGAAUUGUGAAGCCCUUCGUGGUGAAACGCAGCUUUUUUAUUCGGUUUAACAUGGAGUGCUUCCUCGCGGCUCCGGAGCCGAUGGCGACUCGCGUUCCCCAGAUGAUCUUUCGUCUCCUUCGUCCUGCGCAUCUCUGUAACCGAUCGAGCGUCUUUAAUCCCCCCAUUAAUCGAUUACCCACGAUCUAGAUGCAUGACGUUGGAGUCGGCUAUAAGAAGGUGUGCUUUCAAGAGUUUUCUUCACUGACUUGAAAACCGGCAGUUGAUCAUCGGUCGUGGAGACUAGGCUCAUGCGGUUCUGGGAGGCUAGAAGUGCUAGGCGUGGGGGUGAGCUCAUGAGAGUUGACAUGCUACUGGUAGACGUAAAUUCUACUAUGAUCCAAGCAAGAAUCAAUGCUCCUCGCCUUUCAAAAUUGACGUGGUUCCAUGUAUUCAUAACCGCAGGCUUACCGACUCACCCCUGUUGAUUCGAUUCAAUGGUACUACCGGCUUUGAUGAGAUAACCGAACCAGCAUUUCCCCUGCCUAAAGAAGGUUUCAGAUUCCGUGAUGAAACAGACUUGCUAAGACUAGCAAACACCAACACUCGGCUGCCAGGUGCCUUCUUAAUUCUCAAUAAGUUUGUUAGCCCUAUAUCCAUGUUUAAUAUUAAUAUAGAUGUCCGGAAUACAUUUUGGCUGAGAUUACUGCUGUCAAGAGCACCGUGAGCGAUCCUCCAAAAGGAAAAAAUCAUGUUAUGGUGACAGUAAAAUUUGAUAACGAUAACCCUGUGAUAUUGAGUCUGUUCGACAAUCAAGCAAUCGAUUUUCACAGAAGACUUGAUUCCAUGCGUGUUGAUCCAAGGGUGAUUGUUGCCACAAACAUUAACCCAAGAACAGUUGGAGGUAUUUUAUUUUAGUUACUGGUCUCUAAAGCCACUGGGAACAUUCCAGUACCUACAUUUCUGAGAGGAUACGCCAAGGUCAAGCCUUUGAGCAUACAUGAGCUGAAUGAGUUUGUCAUCACCGCCCAGCCUCAGGACGUUGAAUUUGACUGCACCGGAAAGGUGACUGGUGUUACGUCUCCUGCUCUAGGUGCACAAAGAAACUCCAACGAACUGUCGCAUUCUUUACUUGCGUAACGUGCAAUAACACUAACGUUAUUGGUGUGCUCAGGUAUCAUGUGGAGCAUUGCUGAUGACACGGAUGAAGGUUUGUUUGUUGGUUUCGAUGGAGAGAUGACGAAGCUACACAACAUGCGAGCCUAUGAAGCAGUUCAUCUAACGGCUGGAGAGGGAGUUAAUUCAGAGGAGACUCAGCCACCUCCAUUUAUUGCAGACAUGGUUGGUAAGACAUACAACUUCCAGGUUAGAGUAAGCAGAUACAAUUUUACUGCCAACCAUCAAACCUUCACGAUCUCUCGCAUCAUGAACGAACGUGACCGUCUGCCACGCCCCGACUUUGUUCCAAACGUGACAUGCCUGGUGCCAACUCAGUACUCUCUAAGGUCAAAGCUGAUAGCAAUGAUCAUGAGGAAUCAUCAUCUGGAGGAACAUCGCCCAGUUGUGUCGCUACCAAGAAGGCUCGCGCAUAGAAGCUUCGAAGGCACGGAAGGAGUAAUUGGAGAUGAUAGUGUCUCGAGUCAGUUUUUAAAAUUUGAAUAAUGCUUUCGCAUCGAUGUGGUUUUUCAAUUAAGUCCUCUAGAGUUUGGUAUGUUUUUUUUACUAAAAAAUACUAUUAUGAAAAUAAUGAUUUUCUGCAUUGUAGCAAAGCUUUCCCAUCUAAUUAAUCACUAAGUUUGGGUU
Molecule: long non-coding RNA, 1834 nt
Organism: Brassica napus (rape)
Lineage: Eukaryota; Viridiplantae; Streptophyta; Magnoliopsida; Brassicales; Brassicaceae
Exons: 8
Source: RefSeq, a predicted model, not a curated record